GGGCAAAAGGCAAAGGAAAAAGAUAUCAAAGCUCCUCACAGCACCAAACCAGAAGUGGUUAAAAGACCUGGAACAGACGUGAACACAUCCCCACCGCUGGGUAAACCUCUGAAAAAGAGACCCAGCCUCAAGAAGGUUUUCUCAUUUAAGAAGCACACUGCCGCGGAGGAGGAGCGGGGCGAGGCAGGAGCAGAAGCGAAAGCCAGGAGACCCAACCGCCUUCUGCUGAGGCACAUCCAGAGACCGGCCUCACCAGUUACAGACCAGCCCGACUGCUACUACGCACAAGUCUCUGAAGAGAUAGGGCUGAUAGUCCACGGCAGCGAAAGCCAGGGGAACAGCGAGCGCAGUUUCAAAGAGCUGCAGGGACCGGCUAGCACGGAUGGAGUUGAGGAAGCCAUCAGAAAAAUCGUUGCCCUCCUCCAGAGUGCAGGAGAUGAGCURGAUAAGAAAGUAA
This 457-nucleotide long non-coding RNA is filed under the name Apteryx rowi (Okarito brown kiwi). RNAcentral's name for it is "lncRNA (ENSARWG00000012045.1)". The record is from RNAcentral. Lineage: Eukaryota; Metazoa; Chordata; Aves; Apterygiformes; Apterygidae.